GUGCCAGCCGCCGCGGUAAUACGGGGGGGGCAAGCGUUGUUCGGAAUUACUGGGCGUAAAGGGCUCGUAGGUGGCCCGCUAAGUUGGACGUGAAAUCCCUCGGCUCAACCGGGGAACUGCGUCCAAGACUGGCAGGCUUGAAUCCGGGAGAGGGACGUGGAAUUCCAGGUGUAGCGGUGAAAUGCGUAGAUAUCUGGAGGAACACCGGUGGCGAAGGCGGCGUCCUGGACCGGUAUUGACACUGAUGAGCGAAAGCCAGGGGAGCAAACGGGAUUAGAUACCCUCGUAGUCC
This 292-nucleotide ribosomal RNA is filed under the name uncultured bacterium. Its description in RNAcentral is "partial 16S ribosomal RNA". It matches the Rfam family "Bacterial small subunit ribosomal RNA", at positions 505 to 796 of the family's 1533-position model. The record is from RNAcentral.